Molecule: ribosomal RNA, 493 nt
Filed under: uncultured bacterium
Lineage: Bacteria
Description: bacterial SSU rRNA
Rfam family: Bacterial small subunit ribosomal RNA
Source: RNAcentral
UGAACGCUGGCGGCAUGCUUUACACAUGCAAGUCGAACGGCAGCACGGGGGCAACCCUGGUGGCGAGUGGCGGAACGGGUGAGUAAUGCAUCGGAACGUGCCCAGUCGUGGGGGAUAACGUAGCGAAAGCUACGCUAAUACCGCAUACGAUCUGAGGAUGAAAGCGGGGGACCGUAAGGCCUCGCGCGAUUGGAGCGGCCGAUGGCAGAUUAGGUAGUUGGUGGGGUAAAGGCUCACCAAGCCGACGAUCUGUAGCUGGUCUGAGAGGACGACCAGCCACACUGGGACUGAGACACGGCCCAGACUCCUACGGGAGGCAGCAGUGGGGAAUUUUGGACAAUGGGCGCAAGCCUGAUCCAGCCAUUCCGCGUGCAGGAUGAAGGCCCUCGGGUUGUAAACUGCUUUUGUACGGACGAAACGGUCCUGGUUAAUACCUGGGGCUAAUGACGGUACCGUAAGAAUAAGCACCGGCUAACUACGUGCCAGCAGCCGC